RNAcentral lists this non-coding RNA (182 nucleotides) under uncultured Butyricicoccus sp. RNAcentral's name for it is "Lysine riboswitch". It matches the Rfam family "Lysine riboswitch aptamer". Rfam says of the family: Riboswitches are metabolite binding domains within certain messenger RNAs that serve as precision sensors for their corresponding targets. Allosteric rearrangement of mRNA structure is mediated by ligand binding, and this results in modulation of gene expression. Lineage: Bacteria; Bacillati; Bacillota; Clostridia; Eubacteriales; Butyricicoccaceae. The record is from RNAcentral.
GGAUAGAGGCGCGGUUUUCAUCAGUACCGUCCGCGAGGGCCCGCAGCCCCGCCGACCGGACGGGAAAGGGCAAACCGCCGAAGCUCCACAUCUGCAUGCGGCAGAGUCGGGCUGGACCGUCCGGAGAAGAUCCGCCGUGUCUGUCAUCUGCAUUUCCCAGAUGCUGGUGGAGAGCUAUCGUA